Molecule: long non-coding RNA, 161 nt
Organism: Haliotis rubra (blacklip abalone)
Lineage: Eukaryota; Metazoa; Mollusca; Gastropoda; Lepetellida; Haliotidae
Exons: 3
Source: RefSeq, a predicted model, not a curated record
CCAUAGUUAUUUAUCCUGGUUCUUGAAUCCUGAUAUUGUUCCAAAGUUAACUGAGGUGGUUGAGGUGAUUAGGCAAUCUGACAAUGGUAUGGUCCAGCACUGGGUUGACGAGUUAGACCGUGACAUUACUGCGGUUGAAGUACAUGUGGCAUUGAGUAAAU